Molecule: transfer RNA, 92 nt
Filed under: Stephanopyxis turris
Lineage: Eukaryota; Bacillariophyta; Melosirophyceae; Stephanopyxales; Stephanopyxidaceae
Description: tRNA-Ser
Rfam family: tRNA
About the family: Transfer RNA (tRNA) molecules are approximately 80 nucleotides in length.
Source: RNAcentral
AGAAAGAUGACCGAGUGGUUUAUGGUGUAGGUCUGCUAAACCUAAGUGUAAUCUAUAAAAUUACACCAUGGGUUCGAAUCCCAUUCUUUCUG